This 384-nucleotide RNase P RNA is filed under the name Aliiglaciecola sp. M165. RNAcentral's name for it is "Bacterial RNase P class A". It matches the Rfam family "Bacterial RNase P class A". From Rfam's summary of the family: Ribonuclease P (RNase P) is a ubiquitous endoribonuclease, found in archaea, bacteria and eukarya as well as chloroplasts and mitochondria. Its best characterised activity is the generation of mature 5'-ends of tRNAs by cleaving the 5'-leader elements of precursor-tRNAs. The record is from Rfam by way of RNAcentral. Lineage: Bacteria; Pseudomonadati; Pseudomonadota; Gammaproteobacteria; Alteromonadales; Alteromonadaceae.
CGAGUUGGUCAAGACAAUCGCCGCUUGUUGGCCUUUUGGUACAACAAGGGGAGGAAAGUCCGGGCUCCAAUGGGCAGGGUGCCAGAUAACGUCUGGGCGGCGUGAGCCGACGACAAGUGCAGCAGAGAGAAGACCGCCUAAGUAUAGUUGUUUCGACAACUUUACCGGUAAGGGUGAAAGGGUGCGGUAAGAGCGCACCGGGCCACUGGUAACAGUUGGCAGCAGGGUAAACUCCACCCGGAGCAAGACCAAAUAGGGUUCCUUACGGCGCGGCCCGCGUUGGAACCGGGUAGGUUGCUUGAGCCAGUGAGCGAUUGCUGGCCUAGAUGAAUGAUUGUCACCUUUUUAAGGUUACAGAACCCGGCUUAUUGACCAACUCACUUU